Molecule: ribosomal RNA, 236 nt
Filed under: uncultured bacterium
Lineage: Bacteria
Description: partial 16S ribosomal RNA
Rfam family: Bacterial small subunit ribosomal RNA
Source: RNAcentral
UGAGCAAUCUGCCCUUCUCUUCGGAAUAAGCGUUGGAAACGACGUCUAAUGCCGAAUACGACCUCCUUUCACAUGAUCGGAGGUGGAAAGCUCCGGCGGAGAAGGAUGAGCUCGCGGCCUAUCAGCUAGUUGGUGUGGGUAACGGCCCACCAAGGCGACGACGGGUAGCCGGCCUGAGAGGGUGACCGGCCACACUGGGACUGAGACACGGCCCAGACUCCUACGGGAGCAGCAGG